Molecule: transfer RNA, 76 nt
Filed under: Clostridiaceae bacterium
Lineage: Bacteria; Bacillati; Bacillota; Clostridia; Eubacteriales; Clostridiaceae
Description: tRNA-Val
Rfam family: tRNA
About the family: Transfer RNA (tRNA) molecules are approximately 80 nucleotides in length. Their secondary structure includes four short double-helical elements and three loops (D, anti-codon, and T loops).
Source: RNAcentral
GGGAGCAUAGCUCAGCUGGGAGAGCACCUGCCUUACAAGCAGGGGGUCAUAGGUUCGAGCCCUGUUGCUCCCACCA